UCAAAGAUUAAGCCAUGCAAGUGAAAGUAUAUGCAUAUUUUAUAUGUAGAAACUGCGAACGGCUCAUUAAAACAGUUAUAAUCUACUUGACAUUUUUUCUAUAAGGAUAACUACGGAAAAGCUGUAGCUAAUACUUGCUUUAGCACUCUUGAUUAAGUUCUUGAGUGUGUACUUGUUAAGCCUUUUAAGAAAAAAGUUAUUAACUUAAGGAAUUACAACAAAGAAGCAACACGUAAAUGGAUUUUCCAUUUUUUAGUGUGUAUCAAUCGAGUUUCUGACCUAUCAGCUUUUGAUGUUAGGGUAUUGGCCUAACAUGGCUAUGACGGGUAACGGGGAAUUAGAGUUCGAUUCCGGAGAGGGAGCCUGAGAAAUAGCUACCACAUCUAAGGAAGGCAGCAGGCGCGUAAAUUACCCAAUUCUAAAGAAGAGAGGUAGUGACAAGAAAUAACAAUACAAGGCCAAUCUGGCUUUGUAAUUGGAAUGAUGGGAAUUUAAAACCUUCCCAAAACUCAAUUGGAGGGCAAGUCUGGUGCCAGCAGCCGCGGUAAUUCCAGCUCCAAUAGCGUAUAUUAAAAUUGUUGCAGUUAAAACGCUCGUAGUUGAAUUUCAAAGAAUCGAUAUUUUAAGUAGCACUUUGUAGAUUAAUCCACAUAACUGAUACUACGUAUCGACUUUGUGAGCAUUUUUCUACUUAUGUGUUCUUUUAAUUAAAAUGAUUCUUUUUAAGAUCUUUCUUUUUUGCUUCGGCAUUUUAGGAGAUCUUGUUACUUUGAGUAAAUUAGAGUGUUCAAAGCAAACAGAUUAUAGCAUCUUUAUGCGUUUGAAUACUAUAGCAUGGAAUAACAAAAUUGAACAAGUCAGAAUUUUGUUCUUUUUUCUUAUUUUGGCUUAGUUACGAUUAAUAGGAGUAGCUUGGGGGCAUUUGUAUUCAGAUGUCAGAGGUGAAAUUCUUAGAUUUUCUGGAGACAAACAACUGCGAAAGCAUUUGCCUAAAAUACUUCCAUUAAUCAAGAACGAAAGUUAAGGGAGUGAAGACGAUCAGAUACCGUCGUAAUCUUAACCAUAAACUAUGCCGACUAGGCUUUGGAUGAAAGAUUUUAAAAUAAGAGUUUUUUCUCUGAGGAGUUAAAACUCUUAGAUUGCUUCCUUCAGUGCCUUAUGAGAAAUCAAAGUCUUUGGGUUCUGGGGCGAGUAUUCGCGCAAGCGAGAAAGUUAAAAGAGUUGACGGAAGGGCACCACCAGGCGUGGAGCUUGCGGCUUAAUUUGACUCAACACGGGAAAACUCACUAGUUUAAGACAAGAGUAGGAUUGACAGAUUAAUAGCUCUUUCUUGAUUUCUUGGAUGGUGAUGCAUGGCCGUUUUUAGUUCGUGAAUAUGAUUUGUCUGGUUAAUUCCGAUAACGAACGAGAUCUUAACCUGCUAAUUAGCGGCAAAUACGAUAUAUUCUUAUGUGGAAUUGAAUAUAGUUGAUUUGCUUAUUUUGAAGAAAAUAUUGGGAUACGUAAAUGUAUCCCUUUCCCUUUUCUACUUAAUUUGCUUAUCAUACUAUUUCUUUUUUGCGUAAGAAUGUAUUUGCUUGAUUGUAAAGCUUCUUAGAGGAACGAUGUGUGUCUAACACAAGGGAGUUUAAGGCAACAACAGG
This 1643-nucleotide ribosomal RNA is filed under the name Plasmodium inui. RNAcentral describes it as "SSU rRNA". It matches the Rfam family "Eukaryotic small subunit ribosomal RNA", at positions 37 to 1460 of the family's 1831-position model. The record is from RNAcentral. Lineage: Eukaryota; Apicomplexa; Aconoidasida; Haemosporida; Plasmodiidae.